RNAcentral lists this ribosomal RNA (300 nucleotides) under uncultured bacterium. RNAcentral describes it as "bacterial SSU rRNA". It matches the Rfam family "Bacterial small subunit ribosomal RNA", at positions 794 to 1089 of the family's 1533-position model. The record is from RNAcentral.
UCCACGCCCUAAACGAUGAAUGCUAGUCGUCGGAAAGCUCGUCUUUUCGGUGAUGCAGUUAACACAUUAAGCAUUCCGCCUGGGGAGUACGGUCGCAAGAUUAAAACUCAAAGGAAUAGACGGGGACCCGCACAAGUGGUGGAGCAUGUGGUUUAAUUCGAAAAUACGCGAAGAACCUUACCAAGCCUUGACAUUGAUUGAAUUCACCAGAGAUGGAGAAGUGCUAGUUUACUAGAACAUGAAAACAGGUGCUGCACGGCUGUCGUCAGCUCGUGUCGUGAGAUGUUGGGUUAAGUCCCG